Macaca fascicularis (crab-eating macaque) is the source of this 2475-nucleotide long non-coding RNA. NCBI's taxonomy places the organism in Eukaryota, Metazoa, Chordata, Mammalia, Primates, Cercopithecidae. The record is from Ensembl.
AGGACCAAUUAGAAAAUUGCUGUGAUUACUCAGUUAAUAAGUAUAGGCAGUGAUAAUUGAAAAAGAGGGAAAUGAUAUGAGAAAGUUUGUGGAAGUGAAAUCUUUAAUGAUUUAAUACCAUUGAGCUUAUGUGAAAGUACUAAAAACUCUUGAGGUUUUAUGUCUACGUGACCAGAAAAUAGAAAUAUAUGAGCUGGGACUUUAUGGGAGAAAGUUUUAGCAUUGGCCCUGUGAUGAUUUAGAUACGGAUGGGAAAUCCAAUAUAGAUGUCCAACGGUCAUUUCUUAUUUACUAAGCAAUGUCUAAUGUUUGGGGCACUGUUUAGGGUGAUGAGGAUACAGUGCUGGACAAAGCAGAGUAGGUAGUAAAUGUUGGUGAAUUAACUUUUAAAAGAUGACGAUGACUCUUGGCUUCUUGGGAGAACAAAUUGUAGGAGAGCAGGAGAAGCAGCAUGGAGACAGAUGAGAGCAAUGUGACGUGGACAGUGCUGGUGGCUGUGGAGAUGCAGAGACAUGAGUAAGUAAAUCAGCUGAAUACUUUAGAGGUAGACUUAGUAGGGCUUUGCAGUUGGAUUGGGGAGGAGACAUGAGAGAGAGGGUGUAAUCCAAGUUUUGGCUUGAGUGGGUACCUAGUGGUGCUGCUUACUAAUGAUGAAGACUGAGGGAGAAAAGGUAAUACCAACAUGGAGUUCAGGACAAAAAUUAGGCUAGAAACAUGUCACUGGGACUUGGUUUUCAUCAGGCAGAUGAGAGGAUGCAAUAUAUAGGAAGGAAACCAAGUUUAUGAGGAGCAAGAAGCAGCUGACUGCUCUGUGAAAUAGACUGAAAGAGGGGCCAGAGAACAAGCGUCUUACUAGAACCAGGGGCUUGGAUCAGGGCUGUUCAAGUUACCAGAUUUGGAGAAGAGAAUGAGGCUUGGCCAUGAAUGGGAAUUGCUUCAGUCACAAAUACCUGAAGCCAAGGCUGUGAAAGGCUUUGAAAUUUUAGCGGGAGAAUUAAAAGACAAAGGAAACACUGAAAGUCAGAGGGCCUGGCUCUCAGGCCAGCAGAGUCCAACCCGAGGAAAUAGAGACACUUUGCAUUACGUUUAUGCUUUCCAAAGCUUUAAAAAUAUGGAAAGCGAAUGGGAAGUAAUUAUUUAGGGCUAUUUUUUUCCCUAGCCAUUGUCCCAUCACCUUAAUCUCCCUAACUGAGGAUAUGUUUCUAAAGGUCUGCUUUCAUUUCUACAACUGAAAGGCUCCACUCUAUCCCUGAUAUUAACAUGUCAGCUCCACUCUUCUGGCUCAAGAAGUUAUUUUCCUUCUCUUCCCUUUAUGCUGCCAUUAACAUUUGAACAUAACUUGAUUAUUUUAGAAGAAGAAACAGACAAUAAAGGUAGCCACUGAUGUUGCAGCAGGGGUUGCCACACCGACGUCUGGGAAGAGGCCAAGAAGGAGGCAGCUUCUCAGUUCUGUUGCCACCCUCACCCCCCAGGAGAGAAACCCGAGUCAGUGAAUCACUCUGGGAGAUGCCCUUUGGUCUAAAACCCACCUUCCGUCUUUCCAUCCUGACUUAGAAACUGCCCUGAAGUUGAGGCAGCUGAGGGGGAAAUUUGUAGAUAUUAAAUGCUGACACAGGCUUUUUCUCAUGUCUGAGCACACACACACACAGCUCUGUGUCGCUGAGAUUUCAGGCGCUGUCUACUUGGCUAGGAAUACUGGCUGGAUUCUUCUCCUGUUAGGUCCCAUGUCUGAUCUUUACCAAUCCAAGAGUUACUUUUUUCUCCCAAAACAACGUCCACAUACAUAUCUGCAUAGCACUUCACAUUUUGCUUCUCUUUUUAACUAUUCUUAGUUUGAGGUCAAUGAAGAGUAGCAGAGGUACAGGGCAGUGAUCUGGGGAUGAGUUGGGAUUUACUGUUGUGCCUUCACAGAGCUCUGACCUGAGGCCAGAUCAGAGCUGGAAGUUGAGCAAGUUUAUAAGAAGGGACAUAUUGAGGGUGGGGUAGCAGCCUAGAAGCAUAUGUGCUAUGAAGUCAAAGAAGACACCUGUGUGAUCCCGAGCCUUCCCUAAAGCAGCUCACAGAGAAGAAUCUGGGAAGUGGAGGGACUUAGGGCUUAUGUAGUCCACCCUCUACCUGAAGGACUCACUCCUAAGCCUGCUUGCUACUUCUUGGGAUCUUUGCCUCAGGUCAAAGAACAGGUAAGAGAACAUCACGGGCUUUGGAGUCUGACAAACUGGGUUCAACUCCUACAGCCAUGCCUUACUGGCUUUGUGACUCUGGGGAAGUUAGUUAACCUUCCAAGCCUCCUUUUCCCGUCUGUAAAAUUAUAUCCUACCUAGGCUGGGCGUGGUGGCUCAUGCCUAUAAUCUGAGCACUUUGGGAGGCUAAGGCAGGAGGCUUGCUUGAGCCCAGGGGUUCAAGACCAGUCUGGGCAACAUAGCAAGACCCUGUCUACAAAAAACAAAACAAAACAAAACAAAAAAAAAAAAAAAA